GACGAACGCUGGCGGCGUGCUUAACACAUGCAUGUCGAACGGAAAGGCCCUGCUUUUGUGGGGUGCUCGAGUGGCGAACGGGUGAGUAACACGUGAGUAACCUGCCCUUGACUUUGGGAUAACUUCAGGAAACUGGGGCUAAUACCGGAUAGGAGCUCCUGCUGCAUGGUGGGGGUUGGAAAGUUUCGGCGGGUGGGGAUGGACUCGCGGCUUAUCAGCUUGUUGGUGGGGUAGUGUCUUACCAAAGCUUUGACGGGUAGCCGGCCUGAGAGGGUGACCGGCCACAUUGGGACUGAGAUACGGCCCAGACUCCUACGGGAGGCAGCAGUGGGGAAUAUAGCACAAUGGGAGGAAGCCUGAUGCAGCAACGCCGCGUGCGGGAUAACGGCCUUCGGGUUGUAAACCGCAUUCGCCUGUGACGAAGCGUGAGUGAGGGUAAUGGGUAAAGAAGCACCGGCUAACUACGUG
This 468-nucleotide ribosomal RNA is filed under the name uncultured bacterium. RNAcentral describes it as "partial 16S ribosomal RNA". It matches the Rfam family "Bacterial small subunit ribosomal RNA", at positions 28 to 507 of the family's 1533-position model. The record is from RNAcentral.